ACUCCUACGGGAGGCAGCAGUGAGGAAUAUUGGGCAAUGGGGGAAGCCCUGACCAGCAAUGCCGCGCUGCGGAGGGACGCCCUUCGGGGCUGGUAAAACCGCUUUUAUGCGGGAGGAGCAAGGACCGUACCGCAUGAAGAAGUCACGGCUAACUACGUGCCAGCAGCCGCGGUAAUACGUAGGUGGCGAACGUUAUCCGGAGUUACUGGGCGUAAAGGGUCCGCAGGCGGGCCGCUAAGUCUGACGUGAAAUCUCCUGGCUCAACUGGGAGGGGACGUUGGAGACUGGCGGUCUAGCAUCCCGCAGAGGUCGGUGGAAUUCCCGGUGUAGUGGUGGAAUGCGUAGAGAUCGGGAGGAACCUCGAAAGCGAAGGCAGCCGGCUAGGCGCGGAUGGACGCUGAGGGACGAAAGCGUGGGGAGCGAACAGGAUUAGAUACCCUGGUAGCUACGAG
Molecule: ribosomal RNA, 452 nt
Filed under: uncultured bacterium
Lineage: Bacteria
Description: bacterial SSU rRNA
Rfam family: Bacterial small subunit ribosomal RNA
Source: RNAcentral